Molecule: ribosomal RNA, 270 nt
Filed under: uncultured cyanobacterium
Lineage: Bacteria; Bacillati; Cyanobacteriota
Description: partial 16S ribosomal RNA
Rfam family: Bacterial small subunit ribosomal RNA
Source: RNAcentral
AUUUUUCGCAAAGGGGGCAACCCUGACGGAGCAACGCCGCGUGGGGGAGGAAUGUCUGUGGAUUGUAAACCCCUUUUUUCAGGGAAGAAGUUCUGACGGUACCUGAGGAAUCAGCAUCGGCUAACUCCGUGCCAGCAGCCGCGGUAAGACGGAGGAUGCAAGCGUUAUCCGGAAUUAUUGGGCGUAAAGCGUCCGUAGGCGGUUGAUCAAGUCUGCCGUUAAAGACUGCAGCUUAACUGUGGGCGAGCGGUGGAAACUGAUGAACUAGAG